UAUAUAUAUAUAUAUAUAUAUAUAUCAAUCUCAAAUUGGAGCUCAAUAACUAAAAUGUCAUAUCGUAAAACCACAUUCAUAAGUAGGUAUAUAGUCAUCAAUCAUAUAUACCACAAAGAACGUAAAGUCGAUAAAGCAUGAUAUUUCAAAAGCGUGAAACCAAUUUACUCAUAAACGUUUCAUAAAGCAUAGCCAUUAAAUCAUGUUUUUCAUGUAUGCAUUUCUAAUAGUAAAAUCAUGCAUUUUAGAAGGGAUCCACUCACAGAUACUUUGCCGUCGAAUAGUCGUGCAAACUAGAGAGGACGGAAAUGCCAUAAACAUUUGCACCUAAGCAUAUAAAGGUACCAAUUAAUAAAACUAUACUAAAACGGUUCAAUUUUGGGAAAUGGAUGUUAUAAAUGGAUUCAAGACGUCGAAAAACAUGAGGGUGUACCAUGGUACCCCCACGUGCCGCCGCACGCUCCAUCAUGCGC
This 473-nucleotide long non-coding RNA is filed under the name Malus domestica (apple). Its description in RNAcentral is "long non-coding RNA (MDOM_LNC019714)". The record is from RNAcentral. Lineage: Eukaryota; Viridiplantae; Streptophyta; Magnoliopsida; Rosales; Rosaceae.